CCUACGGGAGGCAGCAGUGGGGAAUAUUGGACAAUGGGCGCAAGCCUGAUCCGGCCAUGCCGCGUGGGUGAAGAAGGCCUUCGGGUUGUAAAGCCCUUUUGUUGGGAAAGAAAAGCAGUCGGUUAAUACCCGAUUGUUCUGACGGUACCCAAAGAAUAAGCACCGGCUAACUUCGUGCCAGCAGCCGCGGUAAU
Molecule: ribosomal RNA, 194 nt
Filed under: uncultured bacterium
Lineage: Bacteria
Description: partial 16S ribosomal RNA
Rfam family: Bacterial small subunit ribosomal RNA
Source: RNAcentral